GUCUAUAGCCAUACCACCCUGCACAAGCUCAAUGUCUGAUCUCUGAUCUCGAAAGCUAAGCAGGGUUGGGCCUGGUUCAUACUUGAAUGGGAGACCACCUAGGAAGACCAGGUGCUGUAGGCA
RNAcentral lists this ribosomal RNA (123 nucleotides) under Pteropus alecto (black flying fox). The record is from RNAcentral. Lineage: Eukaryota; Metazoa; Chordata; Mammalia; Chiroptera; Pteropodidae.